UGCGCAGGCGGAAUAUUAAGUCAGUGGUGAAAGCCUACAGCUCAACUGUAGAACUGCCAUUGAAACUGAUAUUCUUGAGUAUAGUUGUAGUGGGCGGAAUAUAUCAUGUAGCGGUGAAAUGCUUAGAUAUGACAUAGAACACCGAUCGCGAAGGCAGCUCACUAAACUAUAACUGACGCUCAGGCACGAAAGCGUGGGGAGCAAACAGGAUUAGAUACCCUGGUAGUCC
Molecule: ribosomal RNA, 229 nt
Filed under: uncultured bacterium
Lineage: Bacteria
Description: partial 16S ribosomal RNA
Rfam family: Bacterial small subunit ribosomal RNA
Source: RNAcentral